AUGCCUGGGCUGAGUUCCAUGAAAAAUGUUCCCACAAUUCCUUGGAGAGUGAAGAAAUGAUUCCUCAUGGAAGCAGCUAAAGAAGCAGCCAUACAGAGGGUCAUGUGGGACAGGAGCUUAGCCCUUACAGCAGAAAAUUAAUAAUUGAUGUACUUCAAGACCCAGUUAUACGACUCCUGCCCAUAUACCCAAAUGAUGCUCCACCAAACCACAAGAACACUUGCUCAGACCAGAGUCUAGCAUAAUGGUCAUCAGAGAGGCUUCAUCCAGCAACUGACUGGAGUCGAUGCAGAGACCAAACAUUAUGAGGACCUUGGGGUACCCUGCAGAAAAUGCGGGGUGUUGUAAGAGCUGGAAGAGUCAAGGACACAGGAGAAGAUGGCCCAAAGAAGCAACUAAUUGGGGCUCAUAGGAGCUCACCGAUAUUGAAUUGACAAUCAGGAAACCUGUGUGAGUCUGACCUAGGUCCUCUGCAUUUAUGUUAUGGUUGUAAAGAUUGGUGUUCUUGUAGGACUCCUAACAGUGGGAGGUGGGUAUCUCUGACUCUUUUGCCUGGUUUUGGAAACCUAAUCCUCAUACUGAGUUGCCUC
Alexandromys fortis (reed vole) is the source of this 590-nucleotide long non-coding RNA. RefSeq lists it as uncharacterized. NCBI's taxonomy places the organism in Eukaryota, Metazoa, Chordata, Mammalia, Rodentia, Cricetidae. The transcript has 3 exons. The record is from RefSeq and is a predicted model, not a curated record.